GAUCCGGUAGAAAAAAAAUCAUUGAUCAGGAAAGACAUAAAAAUAUUUCGUGAUGAAUAAUAUAGUCAACAAUAAUUUUGACAUGAUUUGCGUCAAAAAAUAAUUUUGAUAUGAUAUACUUUUAAAAUUGAUGAUGUUUAUCAAUUAUUGCACAUAACUUUAAUCACAAUUGGUAUACUUGCCAUAGUGGUUGGAAAUAUUGCCUUGCAUUAAAAGGUUGCGGGUUCGAAUCUUAGUCAAGACAAAAUUGUAUUAUUUUUUAAUAAAAAUUGCAAGAUAAAAUGGAGGG
Molecule: long non-coding RNA, 289 nt
Filed under: Trifolium pratense (red clover)
Lineage: Eukaryota; Viridiplantae; Streptophyta; Magnoliopsida; Fabales; Fabaceae
Description: long non-coding RNA (TPRA_LNC009381)
Source: RNAcentral